CCUACGGGAGGCAGCAGUGAGGAAUAUUGGUCAAUGGACGAGAGUCUGAACCAGCCAUGUAGCGUGAAGGAUGACGGCCCUAUGGGUUGUAAACUUCUUUUAUAUGGGGGUAAAUGGUUCCACGUGUAGCCUUUUGUAUGUACCGUAUGAAUAAGGAUCGGCUAACUCCGUGCCAGCAGCCGCGGUAAUACGGAGGAUCCGAGCGUUAUCCGGAUUUAUUGGGUUUAAAGGGAGCGUAGGUGGAUGGUUAAGUCAGUUGUGAAAGUCUGCGGCUCAACCGUAAAAUUGCAUUUGAUACUGGCAGUCUAGAGGAUAGUAGAGGUGGGCGGAAUUCGUGGUGUAGCGGUGAAAUGCUUAGAGAUGACGAAGAACUCCGAUUGCGAAGGCAGUUCACUGGACUGCAACUGACACUGAGGCUCGAAAGUGUGGGGAGCAAACAGGAUUAGAUACCCCAGUAGUC
Molecule: ribosomal RNA, 460 nt
Filed under: uncultured bacterium
Lineage: Bacteria
Description: partial 16S ribosomal RNA
Rfam family: Bacterial small subunit ribosomal RNA
Source: RNAcentral